RNAcentral lists this ribosomal RNA (803 nucleotides) under uncultured bacterium. RNAcentral describes it as "bacterial SSU rRNA". It matches the Rfam family "Bacterial small subunit ribosomal RNA", at positions 9 to 864 of the family's 1533-position model. The record is from RNAcentral.
GAGUUUGAUUCUGGCUCAGAACGAACGCUGGCGGCACGCCUAAUACAUGCAAGUCGAGCGCACCUUCGGGUGAGCGGCGGACGGGUGAGUAACGCGUGGGAACGUACCCUUCUCUACGGAAUAGCCUCGGGAAACUGAGAGUAAUAACGUAUACGCCCUUCGGGGGAAAGAUUUAUCGGAGUUGGAUCGGCCCGCGUUAGAUUAGUUAGUUGGUGGGGUAACGGCCUACCAAGACGACGAUCUAUAGCUGGUUUGAGAGGAUGAUCAGCCACACUGGGACUGAGACACGGCCCAGACUCCUACGGGAGGCAGCAGUAGGGAAUCUUAGACAAUGGGGGAAACCCUGAUCUAGCGAUGCCGCGUGUGUGACGAAGGCCCUAGGGUCGUAAAGCACUUUCGCCAGGGAUGAUAAUGACAGUACCUGGUAAAGAAACCCCGGCUAACUCCGUGCCAGCAGCCGCGGUAAUACGGAGGGGGUUAGCGUUGUUCGGAAUUACUGGGCGUAAAGCGCACGUAGGCGGACUGGAAAGUUGGGGGUGAAAUCCCGGGGCUCAACCCCGGAACUGCCUUCAAAACUAUCAGUCUAGAGUUCGAGAGAGGUGAGUGGAAUUUCCGAGUGUAGAGUGAAAUUCGUAGAUAUUCGGAGGAACCACCAGUGGCGAUGCGGCUCACUGGCUCGAUACUGACGCUGAGUGCGAAGCGUGGGGGAGCAAACAGAUAGAUACCUGUAGUCCACCGCCCGUAAACGAUGGAUUGCCAGACGUCAGGGGCCUUUGCCCCUUUGGGUGUGUCCACACCUUAAC